This 117-nucleotide ribosomal RNA is filed under the name Sinocyclocheilus rhinocerous. Lineage: Eukaryota; Metazoa; Chordata; Actinopteri; Cypriniformes; Cyprinidae. The record is from RNAcentral.
AUGUACUGCCAUAUCACCCUGCAGCCCAAGACUGGUUGCCCACUGAAGCUAAGCAGGGUUGAGCCUGGUCAGUACCUGGAUGGGAGACCUCUUGGGAAAACUAGGUUGCUGUUGGAA